Molecule: ribosomal RNA, 467 nt
Filed under: uncultured bacterium
Lineage: Bacteria
Description: partial 16S ribosomal RNA
Rfam family: Bacterial small subunit ribosomal RNA
Source: RNAcentral
GACGAACGCUGGCGGCGUGCUUAACACAUGCAAGUCGAACGGAAAGGCCCUGCUUUUGUGGGGUGCUCGAGUGGCGAACGGGUGAGUAACACGUGAGUAACCUGCCCUUGACUUUGGGAUAACUUCAGGAAACUGGGGCUAAUACCGGAUAGGAGCUCCUGCUGCAUGGUGGGGGUUGGAAAGUUUCGGCGCUUGGGGAUGGACUCGCGGCUUAUCAGCUUGUUGGUGGGGUAGUGGCUUACCAAGGCUUUGACGGGUAGCCGGACUGAGAGGGUGACCGGCAACAUUGGGACUGAGAUACGGCCUAGACUCCUACGGGAGGCAGCAGUGGGGAAGAUUGCACAAUGGGCGGAGGCCUGAGGCAGAAACGCCGCGUGCGGGAUGACGGCCUUCGGGUUGUAAACCGCUUUCGCCUGUGACGAAGCGUGAGUGACGGUAAUGGGUAAAGAAACACCGGCUAACUACGU